AUCAAAAUACAAAAAGUAAACAAGCAUUUACUUGAUAAAAAAUCAUAAAAGUUGAAUGUUUCAAAAUUUUGACACCCAAGACUUGUGUAUUAAAAGAGGUCAUGAGAAUUAAAACAUAGAUGAAACAGUGUCGUAACGUUAUCACAGAGACGUGCUAAGAUAUUUUUAUUUUUAAAUUUAAAUUUGAUACGCAUAAGAGAUAGCGAUGGUGAGAGUGGGACUGCCCACUUAGAAUUUAAAUUUAAUUGUACGGUCCCAUUCUCUCUCUCAUAUUUUUCGUAUUCUCUUUCAAGAAGAAUAAAUUAGCGGCCCAUUGAAUAGUGUUUGUGCGUGCUUUAUGGGUUAUAACAUUUUUGUCGAUCCUCAGCUCGACUCAAAAGUCAUGAAUUGCAAAGCCAAUGUAACAGAAGACAAUGGGGUAAUGACUAAUUAAGUAUUUAUGAUGAAACCUAAAUUUCUCUCCACGUGAAAGAGAAAUCAGAAAAUAGAGAGAAAUUAAAGCGAGAAAAGAUUCCUCUCCACGUGACAACAAACGUUGAAAUGUUUUUGCUAUUCCUCUCCACUCGUUUCUGAUCUUUUAACUUGAAUUAAAUUUUGUCGAUCUCGCUGCAAAAAUUAUCUUCCAAGAUGAAGAAAUCAGUGGCCCAUCGGUUAAUUGUGCGUGCUUUAUGGGUUAUACACAUUUUUGUCAAUAGUCAACCCAACUCAGAAAUUACAUGUUGCGAAGUCAAUGAAAGAGAAGUCAAAGUCAAUGAAAACAAAGACAGCAAGACAUUGACUAAUCAUAAUAUGGUGGGACACUUAAGUAUCAUUUGGGAUUAAAGUAGAAAUUUAAUAAAUUUCUUAUUUCAUAAUUCUUUAUAAAAAUAAUAUUUAAUAAAUUUUAUAAAAAUUAUUUAUUUCAUAAUUUUUUUUAUUUUACUACAAUUUUUAAAAACAAGUUGAGAUUUACUUUUCAAAAAUAACUUAAAAUAAGCCACCACAAUUUUUCAAAGUUUCUGUUAUAACAUUAAUAAUUUAACAAAAAAGAUAAUUAUAUCUUAUUUUUUCAUACACUUUAGUACAUAAGUUAUUAGUAUCAUAUUACCACCACAAUUUACUAUCGCAAGUAAUUUGAGUUCUCUCCAGUAUCAAAAUUUUGAUUUUAUUAAGUUCAUAUUUUUUAUAUUUUAAUAUUUUUUUCUUUUGUAAAAUUAAUGAGACUUGUACAUGAUUACACAAAUUUUUUUAAACAAUGAACAAGUUCAUGUGAAAGUUAACCAUAAGUCUUAAAAUCAAAUUCAUGAUUAUAGUUUUUAACGUUCAAUCUAUUUAUAUUUUUUCUAUAGUCACGGUAUUCAUUGCAACAAGUUGAUUAUCUGCUUUUAAGAGUCUUGUUACAAUUUCCUUUGCAUUGAUUCUCCGCUUUGGUGAUUCCACAGUAACGCUCUAUAGCGAAAUUGAAGACAAAUGACAUGAACUUAGCAAUUUUGCACCAACAACUUCCAUAAUUGAAUUGGGUAGCAUAUUAUUAACCCAACGCUUUAAUGUCAUUUUUCCAUGAAAAAUUUCAUCUGUGGGUUUCUUCCCAUUGAAUGUUUCCAUUAUCAUUAUCUCAAAGUUGUAAACAUCCCCAUUUGUGGAUGCCUAUCCUUCUCUUCCAUACUGUAUGGAUUUCAACAAUUACAUGGAAAGAUAAAAUAAUUAACAAUAGCAUGCUCAAAUGAAGAUCGUAAAAAUAAAUAACAUAUCAUAAAGUAUUAAAGAAAUAAAAAAAUUAAUGUAGAACAAACUCAGUGGUGGCAAGUGUUUGUGUUUGAGUUAAUGAUUAAUCUUCUCUGAGUAAGAGCUUUGCCAUGCCAAAAUCACUCAAAAUGAGCAACCAUAUUAUCGUCUAGCAAUACAUUACUCAGCUUUAAAUCACAGUGAAUUAUAGGUGUUGUAUGACCAAAGUGUAGAUAUUCCAAAACUAAUGCAAUAUCUAUCAUUAUGUUUAAUCUUUGAAAAAUAUCCAAAAUGUACUUGCUUGUAUACAAACACUUACCCAGACUUGCAUGACGCAUGUAUUUUAAUACCAACGCUUUAAAACCAUCAUUUGAACAACUGCUAAUGAUUUUGAUAAGGUUUUGAUGGCAAAUACUUUUUAUCAUAUCGUAUUCAACAUCAAGACUCUUAAAUGCUCCUCCAUAUGAAUCUUUUCUUCUCGCGUAUUGAAAGAAAAUUUAUAUUUUUGAGAUUUUAAAGUUUUUCUAAUGAUAUAAGAGUAGCCUCGGAGAAAUUAUUAUUGGAUAAAUCCAAAGAUUUCAAGCUUGUCAAAUCAUCAAUAGAAUCAAGAAUUGAGCCUUGAAAUAUAAUAUAUUCGGAAAAGAGGUAUAGUACAUCUUUUAGGUCUCUAAUUGUAGUUGGGAUAACACCAGAAAAAUUAUUCAUCGACAAAUUUAUUCUUCACAAAACCUUCAAAUUUCCAAUCUCUAAAGGAAGUGGACCAGUAAAAACAUUUAAAGACAAGGUCCAAUAUGUCUUCCACAAAGUUGAAGGAAUAGAAGUCAACUCAUUGAAACCCAAAUAAAGACUGUCCCCCCCUGAUGCAGAGCAAGAAAUUGAAGAAAUCUUAAUUAUAUUUAAAUGUAUAAUAUUUAGGAAUAUUUUAAUUAAUUUGUAUUCUAGUUUAAUUUGGUUUCCUAUUUAGAGUCUUAUUGUUUAGGUAUUGCUUAUUUGGGUAAUAUUCCUAAUUUAGGCAUAAGUCUUAUUAAAAUAGGUUUUUUAAUCAUAUUAGGAUAAGUCUUACUUAAUAUAAAUAAGUGUCUUUUGUAGCUUUUACAAGCAGAGAAUUUUGAGUUUAAUAAUAUUUCAAUUUUCAAAUCUCUUUGUGAGUAUUUGAACAAUUAAUCCUCGGUAUUCUGCGGAAUCAACGAGUCUUAACCCCUAAAUUCGCGGUAUUCUUUUGAAUCAACGUGAAUUUAGUUGUUUUUUUGUUCCGGUAUUCUUUAGAAUCAACAGAAUAUUUUGAACAUUAAACUUCCGCUACAUCAGUUUAGUAUCAAAGCCAAAACCUGGUCUCACCAAUCUAACUCCAUCUACCACCAAACCUUUCCUUUUUUCCUUUUUUGUUUUUUUUUUCCAUUUAGUUUUAAAAAAAAACCCAAACAACACCAAAAAAAGCAUAGGAAAAAAAAAGAAAAAAAUUAUAUCAUGAAAUCACAACAUCGACGUGAAGAUUUCAUCUUGAGAAAUGUUUUAGUUAAGAUGUUGAGGAUUUUGCGUUCAAUUUCUCAAGAUUUAGAGAAAAUUCGAGAUAGAAAAUCUUUACACAUAAAGCAUGCAUAUGGAUUUGAUGAAGUUGUUCACGAUGAUGUUUGUUAUGAAGAUAAUGAGGAAAAUUGUAACUUUGUUCCUUUCGACAAUAUUAUUCCUUCCGAGGAGAAUAUUAAUUGGCCAUUCAUGUCUACAACAAAUCCUCAACACAAAGACAAUAUUGAUUUGGAUCAAUCGCCGAAAUUUGAUGAGUAUCUUGAUAUUGUGGGACGAGAAGAGGUAAUUGUUUAUCCAUCUUUUGAUCUUGUGGAGGAGAGAGAGAUAGUUGUUGAUACAAUCUCUUAUUGUUCUCUUGAUUUGCUGAAAGAAGACAAAAAGAGUUGUGAUAUUUUUCAACAGUUAGUGGAUUAUGAGAAGAAAUCAUUUCUCCUUAACUAUGUUGAAGUUCGACACGAACAAUACGAGAAGACAUUAUUGGAGAAGUUGUUGAUAGAAGAAUUUAUUUUACGCCAUUGGAGUGAUUGGAUGGACGUUAUAACAAAAGUUGGAAAAUUUAAAGUUUGUCAUCUAUGUCAAAGCUCUGUUUUAAAAAUUAAUCCUUAUGCACAUGAAGAUGUUCUUGAAGACUACAACAUACAAAAUUCAAGGACGAAUUUUCUCCAACCUGGCGGGAAUGAUGCAGAGCAAGAAAUUGAAGAAAUCCUAAUUAUAUUUAAAUGUAUAAUAUUUAGGAAUAUUUUAAUUAAUUUGUAUUCUAGUUUAAUUUGGUUUCCUAUUUAGAGUCUUAUUGUUUAGGUAUUGUUUAUUUGGGUAAUAUUCCUAAUUUAGGCAUAAGUCUUAUUAAAAUAGGUUUUCUAAUCAUAUUAGGAUAAGUCUUACUUAAUAUAAAUAAGUGUCUUUUGUAGCUUUUACAAGCAGAGAAUUUUGAGUUUAAUAAUAUUUCAAUUUUCAAAUCUCUUUGUGAGUAUUUGAACAAUUAAUUCUUGGUAUUCUGCGGAAUCAACGAGUCUUAACCCCUAAAUUCGCGGUAUUCUUUUGAAUCAACAUGAAUUUAGUUGUUCUUUUGUUCCGGUAUUCUCUAGAAUCAACGGAAUAUUUUGAACAUUAAACUUCCGCUGCAUCACCCCCCCCCCCGGGGCACCAAAUAGAGGUUCCUUAGAGAAGUGAGAUUGCUGAAGCACGUAGGGAUGGAUCCUGAAAGUUUAUUGCCGUUUAAGUCCAGCUAAAAUAAGGCAGUCAAACGACAUCAAAUGUCUGGAAUUGAUCCUUCCAAUUGAUUAUCUUGAAAACUCAAUAAUCGAAUAUUUUUUAAUUUGCGGAGAGUAAUCAGAAUUGACUCAUUCGAUUUAUUGCCUUUUAAAUAAGUUGCUAUUAAGUUGGUCAAGCUGUUGAUCUCCUCAGGAACGCCGCCACUAAUAUUACAGUUGAACAACGAUAAGACUUCCAAAGAUUGAUAAAGAUUGCCUAUAGCUCUUAAAAGAUUGCCAUCUAGUGGAUUAUUGGAGAAGCUAAAAAACUCCAUAUGCUUGCAAGAUGAAAUGUGUGGUAUACUGCAUUACAGGAAGAAUGCAAGAGAUUCAUAUUUGUAAUGCUGGAUUAAACUGAAUAUAUGAUUAGAUAAGAUUGUAUUAGAGCAAAUUAGAUAGGAUUUGACUAAAUUAUUUAUAGUGGGUUUGGAUGAAUUCAUAGAUAAUUUAUAAAUAAAAUUAAAUAAUUGGAAAAUACUAAUAUAAAUUCAAUUAUUUAUCUCAAAACAUUUUAUUAAUAAUGGCAAAGUGUUAUAAAUAUACAUUUUUAUUCAUGAAAUUAAUAUUCACAAUAUUAAUUAAAAUUAUUAAAAAUAUACAAGUUUAAGUUUAAUUAUAGUUGGAAUAAAAUUUGUCAAAAUAAUCUAAGGAUUUUGAUCAAAAGAGUGGUGUCAUUGACCGCCUUAUGGAGAGUAACAUUGCACAUGUCGAACUCUAAUUAGGAAACAUGUGAAGUGGGUCGACUCACAACUCUCUGAAUAAUAGUUGAAUACAUGCAGUGUCCCUCUCCAUAAAAAUUAAAGAAAUUUUUAUGUUAUUAUUUUACUUUUAGGAUUAAUUUGAUAAAUUAAAUUUUUAUAUACAAUUAUUAGUAAGAUUAUUGUAAUGAUAUUAAAUAUUACUUUCAGUUAGUUGAUAUUAAUUUAUUUAAAAAUAGUUAUUUGUCAUAUUCUAGUUAAAGUACAAAAAAAAACUAUUUCUUUCAUACUGAUAUUUAUUGAUUAAUUUGGUAAUUAAUAAUUAGUUAACUUGCUAUUAAAUUUUUUUGAUAAAUUAAUUAAUAUUAAGAAUAUUGUUGAUAGGGUAGCAUUAUAAAGGUAAAGAUAAGAAUAUAAUAUAUUUAAUAAUAAUAGUAUAUUGAAGUACUUUUUAAAAUAUAAAAAUUAAAUGAGUAUUUAAAUCAAAAUACAAAAAGUAAACAAGCAUUUACUUGAUAAAAAAUCAUAAAAAUUGAAUGUUUCAAAAUUUUGACACCCAAGACUUAUCUAUUAAAAGUGGUCAUGAGAAUUAAAACUUAAAUGAAACAGUGUCGUAACGUUAUCACAUAGACGUGCUGAGAUUUUCUUAUUUUCAAAUUUAAAUUUGACACGCAUAAGAGAUAGCGAUGGUGGAAGUGGGACUGCCCACUUGAAAUUUAAAUUUAAUUACACGGUCCCAUUCUCUCUCUCAUAUUCUUCGUAUUCUCUUUCAAGAAGAAUAAAUUAGCGGCCCAUUGAAUAGUGUUUAUGCGUGCUUUAUGGGUUAUAACAUUUUUGUCGAUCCUUAGCUCGACUCAAAAGUCAUGAAUUGCAAAGCCAAUGGAACAGAAGACAAUCGGGUAAUGACUAAUUAAGUAUUUAUGAUGGAGUGACACUCGGAAGUGCUUCUAAGUAUUUAUGAUGAAACCUAAAUUUCUCUCCACGUGAAAGAGAAAAAUCAGAAAAUAGAGGAGAGAAAUUAAAGCGAGAAAAGAUUCCUCUCCACGUAACAACAAACGUUGAAAUGUUUUUGCUCUUCGUUUGAUGCUUCGAGGAUUCACAGGUGCCGAUAAGUCCAACAAAAUUCCGCGGCUUGAAUUGUAUUUGUUAGGGGCACUCGUUUCUGAUCUUUUAACUUGAAUUAAAUUUUGUCGAUCUCGCUGCAAAAAUUAUCUUCCAAGAUGAAGAAAUCAAUGAAAGAGAAGUCAAAGUCAAUGAAAGCAAAGACGAUAAGACAUUGAUUAAUCAUAGUCCCAUUGGGAUUAUAGUAGAAAUUUGAUAAAUUUUG
Molecule: long non-coding RNA, 6506 nt
Filed under: Citrus x clementina
Lineage: Eukaryota; Viridiplantae; Streptophyta; Magnoliopsida; Sapindales; Rutaceae
Description: Citrus clementina (C. clementina) long non-coding RNA (CCLE_LNC003308)
Source: RNAcentral